UACGUAGGGUGCGAGCGUUAAUCGGAAUUACUGGGCGUAAAGCGUGCGCAGGCGGUUUUGUAAGUCAGAUGUGAAAUCCCCGGGCUUAACCUGGGAACUGCGUUUGAAACUACAAGGCUAGAGUGUGGCAGAGGGGGGUGGAAUUCCACGUGUAGCAGUGAAAUGCGUAGAUAUCGGGAGGAACAUCCGUGGCGAAGGCGGCCACCUGGACCAACAUUGACGCUGAGGCACGAAAGCGUGGGGAGCAAACAGG
RNAcentral lists this ribosomal RNA (253 nucleotides) under uncultured bacterium. RNAcentral describes it as "partial 16S ribosomal RNA". It matches the Rfam family "Bacterial small subunit ribosomal RNA", at positions 524 to 776 of the family's 1533-position model. The record is from RNAcentral.